CAGUAGCCGCGGUAACACGAGGGGGGCAAGCGUUGUUCGGAAUUAUUGGGCGUAAAGGGUGCGUAGGCGGCUUGACAAGUCUUGUGUGAAAUCUAUGGGCUCAACCCAUAGUCUGCACGGGAAACUGUCGGGCUUGAGAAUGGGAGAGGUGAGUGGAAUUUCCGGUGUAGCGGUGAAAUGCGUAGAUAUCGGAAGGAACACCUGUGGCGAAAGCGGCUCACUGGACCAUUUCUGACGCUGAUGCACGGAAGCUAGGGGAGCAAACAGGAUUAGAUACCCCCGUAGUCCCUGUCUCUUAUAC
This 301-nucleotide ribosomal RNA is filed under the name uncultured bacterium. RNAcentral's name for it is "partial 16S ribosomal RNA". It matches the Rfam family "Bacterial small subunit ribosomal RNA", at positions 509 to 807 of the family's 1533-position model. The record is from RNAcentral.